AUUGAACGCUGGCGGCAGGCCUAACACAUGCCAGUCGAGCGGUUGAAGUGAGCUUGCUCCUGGAUUCAUCUGCGGACGGGUGUGUAAUUCCUAGGAAUCUGCCUGUUUCUGGGGGAUAACUUCCGGAAACGGGCGCUAAUACCGCCUACGUCCUGAGUGUGAAAGUGGUGGAUCUUCGGACCUCUCGCUAUCUGAUGAGCCUAGUUCGGAUUAUCUAGUUGGUUGGGUAAAGGCCUAACUAUGCGACUAUCCGUAACUGGUCUGAGAGGAUGAUAAGUCAAACUGGAAGGGAGACACGGUACAGACGCAGACGGGAGGGAGCAGUGGGGAAUAUUGGACAAUGGGCGAAAGCAUGAUCCAGCAAUGCCGAGUGGGUGAAGAAGGUAUUCGGAUUGUAAAGCACUGUAAGUUGGGAGGAAGGGAAGUAAGUUAAGAACUUGCUGUUUUGACGGUAACAACAGAAUAAGCACCGGCUAACUUCGUG
Molecule: ribosomal RNA, 484 nt
Filed under: uncultured bacterium
Lineage: Bacteria
Description: partial 16S ribosomal RNA
Rfam family: Bacterial small subunit ribosomal RNA
Source: RNAcentral